Molecule: long non-coding RNA, 1876 nt
Filed under: Anser brachyrhynchus (Pink-footed goose)
Lineage: Eukaryota; Metazoa; Chordata; Aves; Anseriformes; Anatidae
Description: lncRNA (ENSABRG00000009859.1)
Source: RNAcentral
CGAAAAGAAGAGACUCAUGUUUUACUCCCCACCUGCCUGAGAACAAGGAGGCAGUGAUCAGAGGGACACGGAAAGGUCUCAGUACUCUUGUGUCUGGGAACACAAGAGCCAUUUUGAUGGAUGUGCUACAGUUUUAAAAUACAGAAAUCUCAAAUAAACUGUACUGGCAAAAAUGGGCAUUGACUGUUAAUGGCUACAGGCAUCCAAGAUGGAAAAAUAGCCAACAGCACACCUGAUUCCACUCCAACUUCUUGACUCACUUUCCCUACAGUGAAAACACUCCCCUAUCGCCUACUGAGGAUUUAUUGGGUACACUGAAUCAAAUUACCAAAGAUUACCUUUCUCCACCCCUUUGAAUGAAAGCCAAGCAUCUCCAUAGAGAUGAGUAAUUUAUAGCUAUUUUCCCAUCCAGCUGGUAGAUUGUUCUGUUCCUGCCAGUCAACCCUUUUCAACCACAGCCUAGUGAGAGGUGCCAACAACAGUUCUUAAGAAACGUCUCGAGAUUCAGCACCAGUUACUACCAGUUUUGGAUCCUGCAGCCCACUAUUACUGCAGAAUUCAGGGUGCCACCAAGAGAAACUGUGAUCGUGUUAGGGAGUACAAAAUUGUCCCAGACUCUUAAAUGAUGACAUGCUCAGCCUAAGUUUAAAAGCUACCUUCUGCAAUUACCACAGCCUGCAAAAGAGAUUGCCUGGAUAACCCAUCAAAGAAGAGCUUGCUGGAAAAAAAAAAAAAAGAAAAGAAAAAAAAACUCAGGAGCUGGUCAGCCACUGGGAACAAGACUGCCCACGUCCCCCAGCCCAGGCUGCACCAUCCUGUGAAGUUUCAGAAAAUCCCACUCACCAGAUUUAUCAGCUUUCUCAGUGGAACAACUCCCAGCUCUUUGUGGCUCCCCUCACGCAGCCUUAUUGAUACUCUAGCCAUCACCCAGCUGUUGUUAAAAGGAGAUUUGGCAUUGUCUACACAAUUUUCCUACCUCAGAAGAUGAGGAGGAACAGAUCUUUCUGCCUCAUCUCAUGUGCAAUACAUGAUAUGAUUUUCCUAGAUGUGGACUCUACUACAGAUUUUGCUAUUUGCUCCCUACUGAACAUGAAGUUGUGGGUCUUGCAAUCAGAAGGUAAUACAUUUUAUGCCUUUUGGUGGGGAAUAAAUCAAUAACUUGAAAGUAUUAGCCUUAGUCCUGAAGUUAUGGCCUUUUAACCAUUAUAAUGUUCCUAGGCAUUCCCAGCAUGGAAAAGGAGUAUCUCCUCCUCAGAGGCAGAAACAGUCCUGCCCCGUGUUUGUAUGGCACCAGCACUGUGGGAGUCCCGCUCGAGGACUCUGCAGCAACACUGCAGGAAAGGUAAGCAUGAGGGUAAGGAUUCGUGCAUACAAAACUCAUAGCUGACUCCUGCUAAAGUAAAGCACGACCAUCUCCCUAGCUAUGUAAUUCACAUCAAUGUCAAGCUGCAGGCAGGUGGCCGGUCCCCCAGCUACCCGUCAAGGAGCACGCCUGCCUGCCUGCCUGCCUGUCAACCUCUGCUCUGUCUUCACUGGAGCGGUUAACAACAGCAACACGGAGCCUUUCAGCAACAGACUUCAACAAGGCAAAUGGAUGUAAAGAACAGCUGAAAAGACUGUAAACAGCACCGGGCAGCUCUUGCUUGUCUUUCCUAAGACUGACCAUCUAAAGCCUCCAUUUAUAAUGAUGGCUUAUAGAAACAUCAUCAGUAAUAUACGUGUGGGUUUUUAAAGCCAAAGCAAACAAUACCAUUUAUUCAUGCCUCCAGCAUAGCAUCAUUUAGAAAAUAUCACCUAAUAAGAGACGGUAACACUACCAACAUCUGGCAAUAUGAUGAUCUUUGUAAAUAAAUAUUUUCUCACCUGUAUUUUGACA